Molecule: long non-coding RNA, 310 nt
Filed under: Equus caballus (horse)
Lineage: Eukaryota; Metazoa; Chordata; Mammalia; Perissodactyla; Equidae
Description: lncRNA (ENSECAG00000030167.3)
Source: RNAcentral
CAGGAACUCGGAGCGCUCCCUAACCUCGCGGGGCAGCGGGGACCCAGCGCCCUGGCCUCCUCGGGCGCCCCGGCAGGGCGCGCGCCAGGUCCCAGGCCGGCGCGGGGCCCCAGGACCCUUAUCUUCUUCGUCUUGGGUAUCCUGCUGCCGUAAAUUGCAGAAUCGAUGGCGCAAAACGGGUUGGAAACUCCGUAGCAAGCAUUCAAAGUGCCUGAUCCCUUUUUUGGGAAGGCGAGGAGUGGGAGGUAUAUUUAAUUUUAAAACAUUCUCAUUGCAAAUCUGUUAAAUGUGCAGCCCUGGGGUGGCCCCG